RNAcentral lists this ribosomal RNA (451 nucleotides) under uncultured bacterium. RNAcentral's name for it is "bacterial SSU rRNA". It matches the Rfam family "Bacterial small subunit ribosomal RNA", at positions 354 to 796 of the family's 1533-position model. The record is from RNAcentral.
GUGGGGAAUUGUUCGCAAUGGGCGCAAGCCUGACGACGCAACGCCGCGUGGAGGAUGAAGAUCUUCGGGUCGUAAACUCCUUUCGAUCGAGACGAAUGGCCCUUGGGUUAAUAGCCUGAGGGAAUGACGGUACCGAGAGAAGAAGCCCCGGCUAACUCCGUGCCAGCAGCCGCGGUAAUACGGGGGGGGCAAGCGUUGUUCGGAAUUACUGGGCGUAAAGGGCUCGUAGGUGGCCAACUAAGUCAGACGUGAAAUCCCUCGGCUUAACCGGGGAACUGCGUCUGAUACUGGAUGGCUUGAGUUUGGGAGAGGGACGCGGAAUUCCAGGUGUAGCGGUGAAAUGCGUAGAUAUCUGGAGGAACACCGGUGGCGAAGGCGGCGUCCUGGACCAAUACUGACACUGAUGAGCGAAAGCCAGGGGAGCAAACGGGAUUAGAAACCCCUGUAGUCC